UUGCAUUUAUGGUGGUUUUAUUAUAUAAUAGCACUGUUCGGACAGAGCCAAAACGGUGCGCUGUUCGGCAUACGGAUGCGGGCCCUGUGCGAUGGGGCCCCAUGAACCAUGUCAGGCGGGGAACCGAGCAGCAUUAAGUGGUCUGCCCUGUGCGCCGCAGGUAGCCUGCAUCCGUAUGCCAAGCAGCGCAAAGGCAG
This 197-nucleotide signal recognition particle RNA is filed under the name Allofournierella massiliensis. RNAcentral's name for it is "Fournierella massiliensis Bacterial large signal recognition particle RNA". The stretch from base 76 to 174 matches the Rfam family "Bacterial small signal recognition particle RNA". From Rfam's summary of the family: The signal recognition particle (SRP) is a universally conserved ribonucleoprotein involved in the co-translational targeting of proteins to membranes. Archaeal SRP consists of a 7S RNA and homologues of the eukaryotic SRP19 and SRP54 proteins. Lineage: Bacteria; Bacillati; Bacillota; Clostridia; Eubacteriales; Oscillospiraceae. The record is from RNAcentral.